GACGAACGCUGGCGGCGUGCUUAACACAUGCAAGUCGUACGGUAAGGCCCUUUCGGGGGUACACGAGUGGCGAACGGGUGAGUAACACGUGAGUAACCUGCCCACAACUUUGGGAUAACGCUCGGAAACUGGUGCUAGUCCUGGAUCUGUGCUUUUGCUGCAUGGUGGGGGUUGGAAAGCUCCGGCGGUUGUGGAUGGACUAGCGGCCUAGCAGCUUGUUGGUGGGGUAGUGGCCUAACAAGGCGGCGACGGGUAGCCGGCCUGAGAGGGUGACCGGGCACAGUGAGACUGAGAUACGGCCCAGACUCCGACGGGAGGCAGCAGUGGGGAAGAUUGCACAAUGGGCGCAAGCCUGAUGCAGCAACGCCGCGGGCGGGAUAACGGCCUUCGGGUUGGAAACCGCAUGCAGCAGGGACGAAGCUUUUUGUGACGGUACCUGCAGAAGAAGCACCGGCUAACUACGUG
This 465-nucleotide ribosomal RNA is filed under the name uncultured bacterium. Its description in RNAcentral is "partial 16S ribosomal RNA". It matches the Rfam family "Bacterial small subunit ribosomal RNA", at positions 28 to 507 of the family's 1533-position model. The record is from RNAcentral.